GAGGAAAGAAGAAACAUUGAAUCAAAGAGGAUACUACAGAAAACUGCUGUCGUAAACUGUGCUGCACAUGUUUAUUGACUGGGGCAGCCACCGAGGAUGGAAAGUUGGAAACACAUCAUAGGCUGGAGAAGGCUUGUGGCCUGUAUCAUCCCAAGGUGGUAGGGCAGGAUGCUUCUAAAAUGUGGGUGAGAGGACCUGUUUCCAGCGGAGGUCAGGGAACUUUUACGGCCUGUUCAAGGGAAGGAUCACAAGUUUACUUUGAGCAAGAAGUAUUCAAAAUCGCUACUGAAAAUGCAUGCGCUGCAAGACCCACAGAGCCCUGAAUAUGAAGUGAGAAGCAAUAGAAUUCACGUUCGAA
Fukomys damarensis (Damara mole-rat) is the source of this 358-nucleotide long non-coding RNA. RefSeq lists it as uncharacterized. The record is from RefSeq and is a predicted model, not a curated record. The transcript is spliced from 4 exons. Lineage: Eukaryota; Metazoa; Chordata; Mammalia; Rodentia; Bathyergidae.